This 253-nucleotide ribosomal RNA is filed under the name uncultured bacterium. RNAcentral's name for it is "partial 16S ribosomal RNA". It matches the Rfam family "Bacterial small subunit ribosomal RNA", at positions 524 to 776 of the family's 1533-position model. The record is from RNAcentral.
CACGGGGGGGGCAAGCGUUGUCCGGAAUUAUUGGGCGUAAAGGGCGCGUAGGCGGGAAUUUAAGUCUGAGGUGAAAGUUUGCGGCUUAACCGUAGAAUUGCCUUGGAUACUGGAUUUCUUGAGUGCGGGAGAGGGAAGCGGAAUUCCUGGUGUAGCGGUGAAAUGCGUAGAUAUCAGGAAGAACACCGGUGGCGAAGGCGGCUUUCUGGCCCGUAACUGACGCUGAGGCGCGAAAGUGUGGGUAGCGAACAGG